This 460-nucleotide ribosomal RNA is filed under the name uncultured bacterium. RNAcentral's name for it is "partial 16S ribosomal RNA". It matches the Rfam family "Bacterial small subunit ribosomal RNA", at positions 338 to 795 of the family's 1533-position model. The record is from RNAcentral.
CCUACGGGAGGCUGCAGUGAGGAAUAUUGGUCAAUGGGCGGGAGCCUGAACCAGCCAAGUCGCGUGAGGGAAGACGGUCCUAUGGAUUGUAAACCUCUUUAGGCGGGGAGCAAUGCCGGGCACGUGUGCCCGGAGGGAGAGUACCCGCAGAAUAAGCAUCGGCUAACUCCGUGCCAGCAGCCGCGGUAAUACGGAGGAUGCGAGCGUUAUCCGGAUUUAUUGGGUUAAAAGGGUGCGUAGGCGGAUUUUUAAGUCAGCGGUAAAAUGUCCGGGCUCAACCCGGGCCGGCCGUUGAAACUGGGGAGCUUGAGUGGGCGAGAAGUAUGCGGAAUGCGUGGGGUAGCGGUGAAAUGCAUAGAUAUCACGCAGAACUCCGAUUGCGAAGGCAGCAUACCGGCGCCCGACUGACGCUGAGGCACGAAAGCGUGGGGAUCGAACAGGAUUAGAUACCCGGGUAGUC